This 253-nucleotide ribosomal RNA is filed under the name uncultured bacterium. RNAcentral describes it as "partial 16S ribosomal RNA". It matches the Rfam family "Bacterial small subunit ribosomal RNA", at positions 524 to 776 of the family's 1533-position model. The record is from RNAcentral.
UACGUAGGUGGCUAGCGUUGUCCGGAUUUACUGGGCGUAAAGAGCGCGCAGGCGGUCGUUCAAGUCGAGUGUGAAAGCCCCCGGCUCAACUGGGGAGGGUCACUCGAUACUGAUCGACUCGAAGGCAGGAGAGGGAAGCGGAAUUCCCGGUGUAGUGGUGAAAUGCGUAGAUAUCGGGAGGAAUACCAGUGGCGAAGGCGGCUUCCUGGCCUGUUCUUGACGCUGAGGCGCGAAAGCUAGGGUAGCAAACGGG